This 1525-nucleotide ribosomal RNA is filed under the name uncultured bacterium. Its description in RNAcentral is "bacterial SSU rRNA". It matches the Rfam family "Bacterial small subunit ribosomal RNA". The record is from RNAcentral.
GAGUUUGAUCCUGGCUCAGAUUGAACGCUGGCGGCAUGCCUUACACAUGCAAGUCGAACGGCAGCACGGACUUCGGUCUGGUGGCGAGUGGCGAACGGGUGAGUAAUAUAUCGGAACGUACCCUGGAGUGGGGGAUAACGCAGCGAAAGUUGCGCUAAUACCGCAUACGAUCUACGGAUGAAAGUGGGGGCUCGCAAGACCUCAUGCUCGUGGAGCGGCCGAUAUCUGAUUAGCUAGUUGGUAGGGUAAGAGCCUACCAAGGCAUCGAUCAGUAGCUGGUCUGAGAGGACGACCAGCCACACUGGGACUGAGACACGGCCCAGACUCCUACGGGAGGCAGCAGUGGGGAAUUUUGGACAAUGGGGGCAACCCUGAUCCAGCAAUGCCGCGUGAGUGAAGAAGGCCUUCGGGUUGUAAAGCUCUUUUGUCAGGGAAGAAACGGUGAAGGCUAAUAUCCUUUGCUAAUGACGGUACCUGAAGAAUAAGCACCGGCUAACUACGUGCCAGCAGCCGCGGUAAUACGUAGGGUGCAAGCGUUAAUCGGAAUUACUGGGCGUAAAGCGUGCGCAGGCGGUUAUGUAAGUCAGAUGUGAAAUCCCCGGGCUUAACCUGGGAAUGGCAUUUGAGACUGCAUGGCUAGAGUGUGUCAGAGGGGGGUAGAAUUCCACGUGUAGCAGUGAAAUGCGUAGAUAUGUGGAGGAAUACCGAUGGCGAAGCAGCCCCCUGGGAUAACACUGACGCUCAUGCACGAAAGCGUGGGGAGCAAACAGGAUUAGAUACCCUGGUAGUCCACGCCCUAAACGAUGUCUACUAGUUGUCGGGUCUUAAUUGACUUGGUAACGCAGCUAACGCGUGAAGUAGACCGCCUGGGGAGUACGGUCGCAAGAUUAAAACUCAAAGGAAUUGACGGGGACCCGCACAAGCGGUGGAUGAUGUGGAUUAAUUCGAUGCAACGCGAAAAACCUUACCUACCCUUGACAUGUACGGAAGCCUUGAGAGAUCGAGGCGUGCUCGAAAGAGAGCCGUAACACAGGUGCUGCAUGGCUGUCGUCAGCUCGUGUCGUGAGAUGCUGGGUUAAGUCCCGCAACGAGCGCAACCCUUGUCAUUAGUUGCUACGAAAGGGCACUCUAAUGAGACUGCCGGUGACAAACCGGAGGAAGGUGGGGAUGACGUCAAGUCCUCAUGGCCCUUAUGGGUAGGGCUUCACACGUCAUACAAUGGUACAUACAGAGGGCCGCCAACCCGCGAGGGGGAGCUAAUCCCAGAAAGUGUAUCGUAGUCCGGAUUGUAGUCUGCAACUCGGCUACAUGAAGUUGGAAUCGCUAGUAAUCGCGGAUCAGCAUGUCGCGGUGAAUACGUUCCCGGGUCUUGUACACACCGCCCGUCACACCAUGGGAGCGGGUUUCACCAGAAGUAGGUAGCUUAACCGCAAGGAGGGCGCUUACCACGGUGGGAUUCGUGACUGGGGUGAAGUCGUAACAAGGUAGCCGUAUCGGAAGGUGCGGCUGGAUCACCUCCUUUCUA